CCUCCUCCUCGUCCCCGCCCCCCUGCGGGUCGCUUCCCCCGCCGCCUCCGCCCCCAGAUCCCGCACCGUCUCCGCCUUCCGAUCCGCCGCCGCCGAGCUCGGGCUCCUUGGACGCGACGGCCGCGAGGAGGCGGGCGCCGGGGGAGGCGGAGCGGAGCGAGAGGAGGGCCCGGGGGCGGGCGCGCGCAGGAAGAGGAGGGAGCUCUGGGAGGCGGAGAUCGGGGCCGGGGAGAAGGCGAGGGGCGCGAGGAGUGGGGUCGUGGCGAGGAGGGCCAUGGUUGCCGGUGCUCGAGCUGGGGUUUUGUGGGGGGUCAACUCGGUGGGUGGGCUGCCGGCGGUGGUGAGCUCGGUGAUGUGAUGGACUGCUGAUGUGAUGGGGGAUUUUCCGGGGUGGGUGGCGUGUCACUGUGGGUGGGGCCUUGGGUUUCUAGGCACUUCGAUGGUUUUUCGGCAAAAUGUACAAAAGUGAAUUGAAGAAGCAACAAAUUCAUAAAGUGAACCGUUUUGGAAUUUCUUUACUGGUAUAUUCUUUUAUGUGGCGUUCGACACAAUGUGGCGUUUGACGCACAGAAGCCGCACCACCGGCCAUGCUGGCAUCCCGAUGUCAGGUCUGGCCCCUUCCUCCGGAGUGGAGUGCUUAAAGCCAAGGCGCCACACUUGCAAUGCGUCGUGUCUAAGAUAAAGGUGUUACAUAUUGCCUUAUCAGCGUGGGUCGGCCCUCCCCCAUCGUCACCCACACACAUCUCAAGAACAAUAGCUCCGGCUCCUCGAGUCCCCCCCCCCCCCGCCCUCUCAAAUCCCUCCCCAAAUUAAGCAGGUCUCGAAGGUUUGGUCUGUGGAUUUCAACCCCAAUCCCUCCCUUAAGGUAAUCUUCUUCGAUCUCCUUCCUCUUAUUAAAAAAAUUCUCUCGUUUGCUCACUUUUUNNNNNNNNNNNNNNNNNNNNNNNNNNNNNNNNNNNNNNNNNNNNNNNNNNNNNNNNNNNNNNNNNNNNNNNNNNNNNNNNNNNNNNNNNNNNNNNNNNNNUUUUUCUCUCAUUUUUUUUGAAUGGGCUCUUUGGCCUUCUUUUUUUUAUUUUUUAUUUUUAUUUUGGUGGGCAUCUUUGGCCUCUUUUAUUUCCUCACAUGGGACAAUGCUCCAUCAAUGAUGAUCAUCACACUUACAACUCAAAACUUAGAGCAACGAUGACUCUAUAUGGAAUGCCUUCGGUAGUGUACUGUGACAAUGAUCUAGCAUGGCAUAGACAUUAAUGGAAACAUCAUGCUACUAUAUUAAUAUCAUGCAAUGGCAAUGUAGAAGUGGUGGCACAUGUCAUGGUGGUAGUUGCAUGGCAAUAUAUCUCGGAAUGACUUUGAAAAAGCCAUAGUAGGUAGGUAUGGUGGUUGUUUUGAGGGAGGCUAAUGGUGGGUUUUGUGCACCGGCGAAAGUUGCACGGCACUAAGAAGAUAGUGAUGGUGAAAGGUGAAAGUGAAUCUAAACCAUGGACUCAACAUUAGUCAUGAAGAACUCAUAUACUUGUUGCAAAAGUUUUAUUAGUAAUCGAAACAAAGCAAUCAACGCAUACUCCUAGGGGAAGGGUUGGUAGGUAUAAACCAUCGCGCGAUCCCGACCGCCACACAAAGGAUGACAAUCAAAAGACUAAUCAUGCUCAGACUUCAUCACAUAGCGGUUCACCAUACGUGCAUGCUACGGGAAUCACUAACUUCAACACAAGUAUUUCUAGAUCCACAACACCUUACUAGCAUAACUCCAAUAUUACCACAACCACAACUCAAAACUAAUUGAGAUGAAUCAAACUUCUCUAACUAUUCAAUGCACAUGAAGGUGGAAGUUUUCAUAUCCCUUUGGAUAACUACCCCUUUUGAGACUACUUUCAAAGCAUAGAUCAACUAUCAAGCCACGCACCGCUGUGCUCUAAAAGAUAUAAGUGAAGCACACAGAGCAAAAUCUACUAGCUCAAAAGAUAUAAGUGAAGCACAUGUGAGCUGAAUUGUCUACCAAAGGAUAUAAGUGAAGCUCGACAAAAUCACGGUGAGUGCAUGUCUCUCUCUCUAGGUGUGCAGCAAGGAUGAUUGUGACACAACAAAAAUAAAAGACUCCUACGAUACAAGACGCUCCAAGCAAAACACAUAACAUUUGGUGAAUAAAAAUAUAUCCCCAAGUAACGUUACCGAUGGAUUGAAGACGAGAGAGGGGAUGCCUUCCCGGGGCAUCCCCAAGAUUAGGCUUUUACGGCAUCCUUUAAUCUCUUGGGGUGCCUUGGGCAUCCCCAAGCUUGAGCUCUUGCCACUCUUUAUCUCUUUGUCCAUAAGAACUUCACCCAAAACUUGAAAACUUCACAACACGAAACUUAAACAGAAACUCGUGAUAACAUUAGUAUAAGAAAGCAAACCACCAGUUCCUUAGGUACUGUAGAAAACUUAAAUUCUACUUAUGCUGAUGUUGGGUUACUGUAUUUUCAAUCUUCCAUGGCUAAUAUCCCCCGAUACUAUCCAUAGUUUCAUCAAAAUAAGCAACCAACACAACAAAAACAGAAUCUGUUAAGAGCAGACCAGUCUGUAGCAAUCUGUAUACUUCGUAUACUUGUGGUACUUCAAAAAUUCUGAAAAAUUACAGAAGUCUAAAGAAUUUUCGUAGCAAUCAUCAGCAAAAAAUCAACUCAAAAGCUCUUACAUAAAAAAAAGAAAAUUCUUUUCGUGAGCAGAAAGUUUCUGUCUUUUCCAGCAUGACCAAACGAUCAUCCCCAAGACUAAUCAUAACUGUUUUGCUUGGCACAAACGCAAAAAGAAACACAAAAAACACAAUCAUAACAGAAUUAUGAAAGUGUUGAAAACACAAAACAGAAAGAAAAAGGAUAGAUUCGUUAGGUUGCCUCCCAACAAGCGCUUUUGUUUAACGCCCUUAGCUAGGCAAAAGGUGAUGGAAUCACGUAUAGUCAUCUUUGGUGCUCAAACCAUAAGUAGCCCUCAUCAUAGAUUCAUAAGGCAAUCUUAUUUUCUUUCUAGGAAAGUGCUCCAUGCCCUUCUUUAAAGGAAAUUGAAAUCUAAUAUUCCCUUCCUUCAUAUCGAUGAUGGCACCAAUAGUCCUUAGGAAAGGUCUACCAAGAAUAAUGGGACAUGAAGGAUUGCAAUCUAUGUCAAGUACAAUGAAAUGCACGAGUACAUAGUUCUUAUUUGCAACAAUAAGAACAUCCUCGAUCCUUCCCAUGGGUUUCUUAAUAGUAGAAUCCGCAAGAUGCAAAUUAAGAGCACACUCUUCAAUCUCAUGAAAACCAAGAAUAUCACAUAAAGACUUUGGAAUCGCGGAAACACUAGCACCCAAAUCACACAAAGCAUUGCACUCAUAGUUUUUGAUCUUGAUUUUGAUAGUAGGUUCCCACUCAUGAUGAAAUUUUCUAGGUAUAGAGACUUCUAGUUCGAGCUUCUCUUCAAGAGAUUUCAUCACAACAUCUACGAUAUGCGCGGUAAAGGCUUUGCUUUGGCUAUAAGCAUGUGGAGAGUUUGCAAUGGAUUGCAUCAAAGAAAUGCAUUCAAACAAGGAGCAAUUAUCAUAAUUGGAUUCCUUGAAAUCCAAAGUGGGAGUUUCAUUACUACCCAAAAUUUUCAUUUCUUCUACUCCAUUCUCCAUAGCUUUAUCAUCAAGAUGGGUAGACUCCGAAUCAUUGGGGCAUUUUUCAACCAAAGUGGAUUCAUAUCCAGCCCCUUCAUCAAUAGGUUUGACACGCGAAAACAAAGAUUCAAGAGGAGUCACACCAAGCACUUUAAGAUCUUCGUGAUUUGCAUCACUAGAACGCACCCUUUUAAAUCAUUCAUGCCUAGCGCGAAUGUGGGCGGUUCUUUCUUUGCUCUCAUUCAUGGAGACACGCAUAGUGACUCCGUAACAGCAGACCUUCCCUUGCAACGACACCAGAAGAAUGUUGCUAGCACUCUCCGGCAAUCGAAACUAGAAGAAUGUUGUUGACGGCCCACCAAAGCGUGGGAUCGUAGCAGUUUUCGAGGGUAGAGUAUUCGACCCAAAUUUGUUGGUACGCCUAUAGGAGGUGAGAGGAUACUCUCAAGUAUUAGCAGCUGAAUAUGACACUUGAAAGAUUAGUAUCUGCAAGCAAAGUAGUAACAGAGAAGUAGCUAGUAACGGCAGUGGCAAGGAACAACAGUAGUGACAGCAGCAACAAGUAGCAACAGUAGCAGCAGAGCAAGACAAGUAACAGCAGCAGAGCAAGACAAGUAACAACAACAGUAGGACAAACUCGUAGGCAAUGGGUCGGUGAUUUGUUUGGAUGAUAUUCAUCAUGCAACAGUUAUAACACGGAGAGAUAUGUGGCUAGCUCCCGUUCGUCAAUGUGAUGUAGGCAUGCAUUCCGUGUGUCGUCAUACGUGCUUAGGGAAAAAGAACUUGCAUGACAUCUAUUGUCCAUCCCUCCCGUGGCAGCGGGGUCCAAAAGAAAACUACGGGAUAUUAAGGUUCUCCUUUUAAUAAAGAACCGGACCAACGCAUUAGCACUUGGUGAACACAUGAACUCCUCAAACUAUGGUCAUCACCGGGAGUGGUUCCGGUUAUUGUCACUCCGGGGUUGCCGGAUCAUAACACAUAGUAGGUAACUACAACUUGCAAGAUCGGAUCUAAAACACACAUAUAUUGGUGACAACAUAAUAAUUUCAGAUCUGAAAUCAUGGCACUCGGGCCCUAGUGACAAGCAUUAAGCAUGGCAAAGUAGUAGCAACAUCAUCUUAGAACAUAGUGGAUACUAGGGAUCAAUCCCCAUCAAAACUAACUUGAUUACAUGAUAGAUCUCAUCCUACUCAUCACCGCCCAUCGAGCCUACGAAUAGAUUACUCACGAACGACGAAGAGCUUCAUGGAAUUGGAGAGGGACGAAGGUUGAUGAUGACGAUGUCGACGAUUUCCCCUCUCCGGAGCCCAAGACGGACUCCAGAUCUGCCCUCGAGAUGAAGAACAGGUUGUGGCGACGCCUCCGUAUCGCAAACACGACGAAAUCUUCUCUUUUUAUUUUUUAUGGGACGAAAGUGAACUUAUAGAGCUGAGAUUGGGGGCGGCAGAGCCGUGUGAGCCCCACAAGCUUGCCCACCGCCACCAUGGGGGUGGCGGAGGCAGGGCUUGUGGCCCACUGGCCCACCCCCUCAGGUGGAUCUUGGCACAUAUAUUUUUCAUAUUUUCCAAAAAUGCUCCCCGUAAAUUUUUAGGACGUUUGGAGAACUUUAAUUUCUGCACAAAAACAACACCAAGGCAAUUUUGGUGAAAACAGCGUCAGUCCAGGUUAGUUCCAUUCAAAUCAUGCAAAUUAGAGUCCAAAACAAGGGCAAAAGAGUUUGGGAAAGUAGAUACGAUGGAGACGUAUCACAUAGCUUUCAAAGUUUCAUCCAAGUUGACCUUGGGAGGAGCACAUCUAACUUUCAAAGCAUCAAUAUCACAAGACAUCCUAUCAACGCUCUUAGCCAAAUCGUCUAUUUUUAGUAGUUUUUCCUCUAUGGACGCAUUGAAAAUGUUUUGAGAGUUGAUGAACU
Molecule: long non-coding RNA, 5519 nt
Filed under: Hordeum vulgare
Lineage: Eukaryota; Viridiplantae; Streptophyta; Magnoliopsida; Poales; Poaceae
Description: long non-coding RNA (HVUL_LNC005770)
Source: RNAcentral